UACGAAGGGGGCUAGCGUUGCUCGGAAUCACUGGGCGUAAAGCGCACGUAGGCGGCUUGUUAAGUCAGGGGUGAAAUCCUGGAGCUCAACUCCAGAACUGUCUUUGAUACUGGCGAUCUCGAGUCCGGGAGAGGUGAGUGGAACUGCGAGUGUAGAGGUGAAAUUCGUAGAUAUUCGCAAGAACACCAGUGGCGAAGGCGGCUCACUGGCCCGAUACUGACGCUGAGGCACGAAAGCGUGGGGAGCAAACAGG
This 253-nucleotide ribosomal RNA is filed under the name uncultured bacterium. RNAcentral's name for it is "partial 16S ribosomal RNA". It matches the Rfam family "Bacterial small subunit ribosomal RNA", at positions 524 to 776 of the family's 1533-position model. The record is from RNAcentral.